Molecule: long non-coding RNA, 378 nt
Organism: Sceloporus undulatus (fence lizard)
Lineage: Eukaryota; Metazoa; Chordata; Lepidosauria; Squamata; Phrynosomatidae
Exons: 4
Source: RefSeq, a predicted model, not a curated record
ACCCUCUAUCUAGCCUUGCUUUCCCUCACAAAGGUUCUGUAUCUGCUCUGGAACCUGCUUGACUCCAUUCUGGAACCCGGCUGUUGGAGACCAGUGGCUGCUUUCUGUGAGGCUCCUUGGCCUGGACUCAGGACUCAGGCCUCCUCCAUUGACCAUGCCUGGCUUCAAGCACCACAUGAAAGCCAUCAAGGAACAUUUCAAGCGUCCUACACGGACCAAGCCUGACCCCAAGGGCUGCUUGGAAGCCGCCGGGGAACAUAUCAAGCCUCCUCCAUUGACCAGGCCUAGCUUCAAGGACCGCGUCAAAGCCGCCGUGAAACCUUUCUGUUUCAUGUUCCAAUGCGUAAAGCGCCAAAAGGACAAGGACGAUUGUCCAGG